RNAcentral lists this long non-coding RNA (895 nucleotides) under Marmota monax (woodchuck). The record is from RNAcentral. Lineage: Eukaryota; Metazoa; Chordata; Mammalia; Rodentia; Sciuridae.
GUCUUUAACAGGCAUUCUAGAAAGCAAUAUCUGACUAUAAUAUAAUUAAAUUAAUAAUUUAAGCAAAUACCCCCCCCCAAAUCCUGAAUGGAUUUGAAAAUUAAUAACCACACUUGUAUCCAUAUAUGAAUACAUGACUCAUGAAACUCCACAUCAUGUACAACUGCAAGAAUGGGAUUCUAAUUAGAGAAAGUCAUACUCCAUGUAUGUGUAAUGUCAAAAUACACUCUAAUGUCAUGUAUACUAAAAAUAACAAAUAAAAAAGGAAAAAAGCCACACUUGUAAACAACUUAUGAGUUAACCAAGAAACAUAAUGAAAAUUAAAAAAAUACAUAAAACUGAAUGUUAACAUUAGUAAAAAUAAUAGGAAGCAAAACUCAUAGGCAGCACAAAAGUGGAAGAUUGAGAGUUAUAGCCUUAAAUGCCAGUAUCAGAAAAGAAAAAAAAGAAAUAAGAUUUAAUAACUCAACAUUCAAUAUACCAAUUUAGAAAGCAAAGAUCAUAAAAAGUGUAAUGAAUGCACAAUAUAUAUUGAUAAAAAGAGAAAACACAAAAACUGGUUCUCUGAAAAGACUUGUAAAUAGGAUAACUUAUAGCAUAUUUGAGCAAGGAAAAAAGUAAUCUAAAAGAGACUGGAAACAUUACAGGUAGUAGUAAUAUAUUACAAAUUAUAUUUUUACCUCUAGGACAAGAGAAUAAUGGCCGCUAGCUCUUUAUAUCUAACUGGUUAUCAGAGCCAGUGAUGUAAGUGAAGGAAAGAAAUAAGCAAAAGGUAGAAGGAAAGAAAAAGGAUAAAGCAAAAUUGCCACCAAUUAAAGAUAAUAAAUAAACUUUGCAGGAAAAAUACUAGAAACAACACAAAAAGUUCAGGAAAAUUAGCAGAUAUAAAACAAAC